UCCUCCACCUGCUGGGGGCAGAUGUAAUGGAUAUGCGCGUCGAUGCCGCCGGCGGUGACGAUCUUGCCUUCGCCUGCGAUAAUCUCGGUCCCCGGGCCGAUCACGAUCUCGACACCGGGCUGGAUAUCGGGGUUGCCCGCCUUGCCGAUGGCAGCGAUGCGCCCGGCCCUGAGCGCGAUGUCCGCCUUGUAGAUGCCGGUCCAGUCCAGGAUAACGGCAUUGGUGAUGACGGUAUCUGCAGCGCCUUGCGCAUUGGUGCGCUGGCUCUGCCCCAUGCCGUCGCGGA
Novosphingobium pentaromativorans is the source of this 286-nucleotide small RNA. It matches the Rfam family "5' ureB small RNA". Lineage: Bacteria; Pseudomonadati; Pseudomonadota; Alphaproteobacteria; Sphingomonadales; Sphingomonadaceae. The record is from Rfam.